UUGGCUCAGGAUGAACGCUGGCGGCGUGCCUAACACAUGCAAGUCGAACGGACACUUUAAGAAGAGUCUUCGGAUGAUUCUUAAAGUUGUUAGUGGCGGACGGGUGAGUAACGCGUGGGGAACCUGCCUUUGUCCGGGGGAUAGCAGCUGGAAACGGCUGGUAAUACCGCAUAAGACCACGAAGCCGCAUGGCUUUGCGGUAAAAGAUUUAUCGGACAGAGAUGGACCCGCGUCUGAUUAGCCAGUUGGAAGGGUAACGGCCUACCAAAGCAACGAUCAGUAGCCGGCCUGAGAGGGCGGACGGCCACAUUGGGACUGAGACACGGCCCAGACUCCUACGGGAGGCAGCAGUGGGGAAUA
RNAcentral lists this ribosomal RNA (360 nucleotides) under uncultured rumen bacterium. RNAcentral describes it as "bacterial SSU rRNA". It matches the Rfam family "Bacterial small subunit ribosomal RNA", at positions 19 to 363 of the family's 1533-position model. The record is from RNAcentral.